AGCGACUUAUAUUCUGUAGCAAGGUUAACCGAAUAGGGGAGCCGGAGGGAAACCGAGUCUUAAUUGGGCGUUAAGUUGCAGGGUAUAGACCCGAAACCCGGUGAUCUAGCCAUGGGCAGGUUGAAGGUUGGGUAACACUAACUGGAGGACCGAACCGACUAAUGUUGAAAAAUUAGCGGAUGACCUGUGGCUGGGGGUGAAAGGCCAAUCAAACCGGGAGAUAGCUGGUUCUCCCCGAAAGCUAUUUAGGUAGCGCCUCGUGAAUUCAUCUCCGGGGGUAGAGCACUGUUUCGGCUAGGGGGCCAUCCCGGCUUACCAACCCGAUGCAAACUGCGAAUACCGGAGAAUGUUAUCACGGGAGACACACGGCGGGUGCUAACGUCCGUCGUGAAGAGGGAAACAACCCAGACCGCCAGCUAAGGUCCCAAAGUCAUAGUUAAGUGGGAAACGAUGUGGGAAGGCCCAGACAGCCAGGAUGUUGGCUUAGAAGCAGCCAUCAUUUAAAGAAAGCGUAAUAGCUCACUGGUCGAGUCGGCCUGCGCGGAAGAUGUAACGGGGCUAAACUAUGCACCGAAGCUGCGGCAGCGACACUAUGUGUUGUUGGGUAGGGGAGCGUUCUGUAAGCCUGUGAAGGUGUGUCGUGAGGCAUGCUGGAGGUAUCAGAAGUGCGAAUGCUGACAUAAGUAACGAUAAAGCGGGUGAAAAGCCCGCUCGCCGGAAGACCAAGGGUUCCUGUCCAACGUUAAUCGGGGCAGGGUGAGUCGACCCCUAAGGCGAGGCCGAAAGGCGUAGUCGAUGGGAAACGGGUUAAUAUUCCCGUACUUGGUGUUACUGCGAAGGGGGGACGGAGAAGGCUAUGUUGGCCGGGCGACGGUUGUCCCGGUUUAAGCGUGUAGGUGUGUGUUCCAGGUAAAUCCGGUUCACUUUAACACUGAGGCGUGAUGACGAGGCACUACGGUGCUGAAGCAACAAAUGCCCUGCUUCCAGGAAAAGCCUCUAAGCAUCAGGUAACAUCAAAUCGUACCCCAAACCGACACAGGUGGUCAGGUAGAGAAUACCAAGGCGCUUGAGAGAACUCGGGUGAAGGAACUAGGCAAAAUGGUGCCGUAACUUCGGGAGAAGGCACGCUGACACGUAGGUGAAGUGAUUUACUCAUGGAGCUGAAGUCAGUCGAAGAUACCAGCUGGCUGCAACUGUUUAUUAAAAACACAGCACUGUGCAAACACGAAAGUGGACGUAUACGGUGUGACGCCUGCCCGGUGCCGGAAGGUUAAUUGAUGGGGUCAGCGCAAGCGAAGCUCCUGAUCGAAGCCCCGGUAAACGGCGGCCGUAACUAUAACGGUCCUAAGGUAGCGAAAUUCCUUGUCGGGUAAGUUCCGACCUGCACGAAUGGCGUAAUGAUGGCCAGGCUGUCUCCACCCGAGACUCAGUGAAAUUGAACUCGCUGUGAAGAUGCAGUGUACCCGCGGCAAGACGGAAAGACCCCGUGAACCUUUACUAUAGCUUGACACUGAACAUUGAGCCUUGAUGUGUAG
RNAcentral lists this ribosomal RNA (1535 nucleotides) under Salmonella enterica. RNAcentral describes it as "partial 23S ribosomal RNA". It matches the Rfam family "Bacterial large subunit ribosomal RNA", at positions 622 to 2141 of the family's 2925-position model. Lineage: Bacteria; Pseudomonadati; Pseudomonadota; Gammaproteobacteria; Enterobacterales; Enterobacteriaceae. The record is from RNAcentral.